Molecule: long non-coding RNA, 1486 nt
Filed under: Canis lupus familiaris (dog)
Lineage: Eukaryota; Metazoa; Chordata; Mammalia; Carnivora; Canidae
Description: lncRNA (ENSCAFG00000058438.1)
Source: RNAcentral
AAUAAAACAUUUUUAUUGAAUAUCCAUGUAAUAUGUUAAGUCAUUUUUUUUUUUAACAACAAUCAGAAAACUACUGUGGGGCCACUACACAAAGUGAAACAAAAUUGAUACCACCUCAUCAAAAAUGAAGGUAAAUACAGCUAAAGUAGUUGGCUCGCGGGCCACGAGCCAUAUGGCAGAGGAGAACACCCCAACAUUUCUACAAGGUACAGAGGAAACCCACACAUAGAAACACUCAAGCAGGCAGUAAAUAUACACAAAGGCAACUAGGAUCUUUCUAGAGCAUCAGCUUCUAAUAAUCGACACAGCUUUGUCAGAAAGGUACACGUGGCGUAUCUGAGGAUGAGUCUUGGUCUUCAAGCAGGUUCGGUCACUGACGUGUGAGACAUGGCACGGCCCCCGCUAACUCCGUGGUGACAGUCCCAUGUCUGGCAGUGUUGCAAGAGAAUGCAUUAGUAGUAGUUUAAUGCGAGAACUAAUGGGUAUUCGGCGGCUCGAACCUGCUUGCCUUAGUGGUGGCUCAGUGUGAACAACUGGAAGCUGAAUAUGGUGAAAUUAAAUGUCAGUUUGUGAUGCCGAAGGAACUUUUACAAGUUGGCCGACUCUCUCCCUUCGGUUGGGUUUGGUCUUUGCGACUGGGAAGAUCGUCAUUGGACUCUUCUGCUCAAACUGAUAUUUAAUCUCACAUCGUGACUUGUGCGUCUUCCGUUAUCUGGGGUUUUUAAGAAAGGAUGGACCAUCCACAGAAGAGGGAGAGGCGUCUGCCCCAGCCCCGAUGAGAUGGCCGUGACCGGGCCGGAAGGCCAAAGGCUUGCCUCUUCUUUGAUGAGAAAAGAAUAAGGACGGGGAAUUCUAGUUUCACCGGGAAACAGCCAACCCCAUGUGGGAAGCCUCCCGUCAGCCCUUUUGGAGCUCUCUGUAGUUCUUAAAGAACGUGGCCUGAUACCCUAAUAUCUGAACACCAGGCUGACGCCUGCUUCCCCUCCGUUCUGUUUUGGUGGCCGUGGGGAUGAACCCUCACUCAGGGCCUCGCCGCCGACUUGGCCUAGGCGUUCAAAGGGGCCCCAGAAGCCAGCGGAGGCGGCGUGAGAUAACGGGCUGCCCUUCCACAGAGGGGUUGUCUAGCAUAGUGGGGAAAAAGUAUGGAAUAUUGCACAGUGCUUGACAAAAUGCUGCGUGUCCCACCCCGGCCUAUGUAUCUUUCUUGUCCUAUGCAUAGCUUCUCAGUUCUGAAUUGGUCCUUUGUAAUGAGAACUGUUUGUGCUACACACACCUUGGGCAGUGCAGUAGAAGGGAAUGGCAGUAUUGUUACAACAUCACUACGGAAUAAAUUGAGUGCUAUCCACUGAGGAAACUACGUGUCUAAGCACACACGGCAGUCACAGUGUUACACAGAGCAGUCCUUGAAGACUCUUAUGGAAUGACUAGUAGCUUCAUAAUAGUGCCAUUUACUACAUAAUGACAUUGAAAACAUUUAAAAACUCCU